RNAcentral lists this ribosomal RNA (393 nucleotides) under uncultured bacterium. RNAcentral's name for it is "partial 16S ribosomal RNA". It matches the Rfam family "Bacterial small subunit ribosomal RNA", at positions 523 to 918 of the family's 1533-position model. The record is from RNAcentral.
AUACGGAGGAUGCAAGCGUUAUCCGGAUUUAUUGGGUUUAAAGGGUGCGUAGGCGGUUUGCUAAGCGGGAGGUGAAAUGCCGGCGCUCAACGUCGGAAGUGCCUCCCGAACUGGUGGACUUGAAUGACUCUGCCGUGGGAGGAAUGUGUAGUGUAGCGGUGGAAGGCUUAGAGAUUACACAGAACACCGAUUGCGAAGGCAUCUCACGAAGGGUUGAUUGACGCUGAGGCACGAAAGCGUGGGGAUCAAACAGGAUUAGAUACCCUGGUAGUCCACGCAGUAAACGAUGAUGGCUAACCGCUGGGCUUAUCAGUUCAGUGGCCAAGCGAAAGCGAUAAGCCAUCCACCUGGGGAGUACGACCGUAAGGUUGAAACUCAAAUGAAUUGGCGGGG